RNAcentral lists this ribosomal RNA (481 nucleotides) under uncultured bacterium. RNAcentral's name for it is "bacterial SSU rRNA". It matches the Rfam family "Bacterial small subunit ribosomal RNA", at positions 15 to 507 of the family's 1533-position model. The record is from RNAcentral.
GAUCAUGGCUCAGGACGAACGCUGGCGGCGCGCCUAACACAUGCAAGUCGAACGAGCGAGAGAGAGCUUGCUUUCUCAAGCGAGUGGCGAACGGGUGAGUAACGCGUGGGGAACCUGCCUCAAAGGAGGGGGACAACAGUUGGAAACGACUGCUAAUACCGCAUAAGCCCACAGCUCGGCAUCGAGCAGAGGGAAAAGGAGCAAUCCGCUUUGAGAUGGCCUCGCGUCCGAUUAGCUGGUUGGUGAGGUAACGGCCCACCAAGGCAACGAUCGGUAGCCGGACUGAGAGGUUGAACGGCCACAUUGGGACUGAGACACGGCCCAGACUCCUACGGGAGGCAGCAGGUGGGGAAUAUUGCACAAUGGGGGAAACCCUGAUGCAGCGACGCCGCGUGGAGGAAGAAGGUCUUCGGAUUGUAAACUCCUGUUGUUGAGGAAGAUAAUGACGGUACUCAACAAGGAAGUGACGGCUAACUACGUG